UGGGGAAUAUUGCACAAUGGGGGAAACCCUGAUGCAGCGACGCCGCGUGAAGGAAGAAGUAUCUCGGUAUGUAAACUUCUAUCAGCAGGGAAGACAAUGACGGUACCUGACUAAGAAGCCCCGGCUAACUACGUGCCAGCAGCCGCGGUAAUACGUAGGUGGCAAGCGUUAUCCGGAUUUACUGGGUGUAAAGGGCGUGUAGGCGGCAUAGCAAGUCUGAAGUGAAAGGCUGGGGCUCAACCCCGGGACUGCUUUGGAAACUGUGGAUCUAGAGUGCCGGAGAGGUAAGCGGAAUUCCUAGUGUAGCGGUGAAAUGCGUAGAUAUUAGGAGGAACACCAGUGGCGAAGGCGGCUUACUGGACGGUAACUGACGUUGAGGCUCGAAAGCGUGGGGAGCAAACAGGAUUAGAUACCC
Molecule: ribosomal RNA, 415 nt
Filed under: uncultured bacterium
Lineage: Bacteria
Description: bacterial SSU rRNA
Rfam family: Bacterial small subunit ribosomal RNA
Source: RNAcentral